UGUUCGUGUAUAUAUACACCGGUAGUGGGGUAGUGUUCGUGUAUAUAUACACCGGUAGUGGGCGAGAGCGGCCAGUCUAUGGCUGGCAUCGAGAGGAGGCGGACGUGUGCAGCUGGCCAUUUUAGUGUAGUGGUGAGACGGUGACUUACUGCUAUUAUGGUAAGGACAAGGGACCCUACAAAUGGCGACGAGGUGAAAAAAAAAAGAAAAAAAAAACAACUGUAAGUAGUUAUAAUUAUUAUCCGUAAAUUGUUGUGUUCUGUUACUUGGUAAUUGGCAAAAUCGCUUGCCCAGACUACGGACCCGGUUCUUGCCUGCCGGUCUGGUUUGCAGCGAUUGAGCUUAAACUAAGUCGCUGUGUAGACUAUGGUCUAGGUUACAGCGACUAAAAAUAAAAAAAAAAAAAGAAAGAGAAUAUGUAAAAAAAAAAGUAAAAAGAAUACAGCAAUGCGGUUAGUCAGUUUUAUUUUUGAAAAGGACAGAAGGUCGAAGUAAUAAUUAUUCUUUUAUUACUGUUGAAUAAAUUUAAUGUUGUUUAUCAAGACAUUGUGUGAUGAUAGAUAAUCAAAUGACAUGGCAUUUUAUGAGUGUACAAGUGAUAGACACGUCGUAGCGUGGCAAUUUCGUUAAGUGGGCAAGUGGUAAGCCAAAAAGCUAAAUUAGUUACCUUCGUUGAGUCGAGCGAUCCGUAAGCCGGGACAGUAUCCCGCAGCGAUUAGCUGGAAUAGACAUAUUCCGUUUUGUGGAGUACGCCUGCCUGCUAGACUGUCAAGUUCACUAUACCUGAGCUGGUACGGCCAGUACGGUAAGACAAAAGUUGUUGUGUUGUUUGCCAGUUGGAGUGACGGUCUUACAUACAUUACGUAUUUACUAAAUGACGUAUACAGGAAUUUAAAUUUAUUUAUCGUCACAUCAAGUAUUACCCUCAAAAUCAAAGUUUAAUGGGUAUCGAUAUUCGUUGCAGGUAUCACAUUGUACAAACUUUAUGAUAAACAUCGGGUAUGGCCAUAGUAGUUGUAAUGUGAAUUAGCGUUUGAAUAAGCGAUAGCCUUGUCUCAACGUUUUAUAAUGAGGAAGGCGGUAUUCGUGAGCUUCAACGUUAUUUAAUGGUGGUGUUAAGAGUCCAGUAUUACAGCGAUAGCAAUACGGUGCUACAGUACACAAUUAAGUGAACAAAUUAGUGAUUAGGUAAAUCGCUAGAGAUACUGAAAAGUAGUAAAAUUAGUAAAAUAAGGAGUCGGUUGUGCCAUUUAACGGCGGUCAAUCUCGGACUGAUUUAUUAAUGUUUUAUGUUUACCCUCAUAACAUUUCAGCUAAUACAUUACAAACGUGAUCUAAAACUAAAACCAUGGUUGAUGGUUUGUAUAAAUUGAAAAGGUAUAGAAGUGAUAAACGUUAAAUGGUCAAAUGUAACUUUUACGAUGUUUUACAUAAUUUUAAUGUUUAUCAAACGUAAGCAUAAUAAAUAAUAAAUACUCUUGGGAAGUAUUACCCAAGUUACAUUGUGUGAUGUUAAAUACAUCAAAAAUAUCCAAUGGAUAGCCAAACUUCCCAGUAACGUGCACUUCAUAUAGUCAUUAAAGUACGGCAUACCCAUGCCACUGAGACCUUCACAUAUAUAAUAUUGGCAAGACUAAGCUAAACUUAUAAGGAGUUUAAUUACAUUGCGAAUAGUGCAGGAGUUGGCGUACUAUUUAAUUACAACCAACAUGACAAUAACAAUGCUUUCGUCUUCGUCUGUUGAUACAGCUUGGUGUUCUGUGUCAAGCACAUAAGUCGCCCGCGUCGAUAAACAUUGGCAUACUGCAAUUUGCGCACGGGUUUGUGCGUGAAUUGAAUCUAUCGUGUGAAGUGUGAUAACAAAAUAUUGUGGGUACGGUGUGUAAAUGGAUAUGUAGUGUUGGUAUGUAAGUAUGUAUGUAAGUGUGACGAUGGUGUGGAAAAUAUUAAAUUAAAUAUUUCAAAUAAUAAUAAUAUUAUAAAUAAAUAAAAUAAAUAAAUAAUGUAUAUAACCUACUCGUUCAUCGAUCUUUGAGAUAAGGAGAUUUGAUGACAAAAGGUUGUGUAAGUUUUACUAGUGAAAGAUAAGAAUAAUCGAGAGAUUUAAUUGGGAUUUAGGUUGAGCAAAGCUAGUGAUUUAAUAAAAUGUUGGUAUGGGGAGUGUUGUGAGGUUGUUGUAGUUGUGUCGUGGUCAAAGGGGUCACUCCACUGCAUCGUGGGUGUUGGUCCUGAGCAUGACAUGGGCUAUGCUGUGAUAGAAGGGGACGUUCAACUUGUUGUUAAGGUGGUUAAGUGUUGUGAACGCAAAAUGGUGUAAAGGAUCUCAUAAUAAGAGACCAUUCUGAACGAAUGUGGACAUGGAGAUGUCACUAAGAGUUGCUGUUCGAUGGUGAGGUGGUGCAGAAUUGUUCUGUCAUCGUGCAGGUGACACUCAAAUAAUAAUUAUUUGUCAUUGUAUUAGGGUAUUAAUACUAAAUCACUGUGUUAGUUUGAAGUUAUAAAUAGCCAAGGAACAUCCGAAGUCAGGCGUCGUGUUAUGUGAGCGACAUUGAGGGAGUCGCUAAAAGUGUAGUUGUUUUACAUUUGAGUUAUUUAGUAUCAUUCGAUCAAAGAUUUGUUGUUGAACGUUGAAUUGAAAUUUGUUGUCGUUUCACCCUUAUGUGUGUGUUAUGGUGUAUUUGAUAGACAUCUUAAUUGAUCAAGCAGAUGCCAUUGUUUAACCUGCAAGUUUGUACAACUUGAUGAAAUCAAGUUUAGAACAGUCCUAUAUUAUUAUCUGUCAAUUAUGUGACAGCUUUUGACGGGUACUUAAUAAUACUUGAUUAAUGAAAACUGACAUUUGUGACAGGUUCAACCAAUGUUCGAUAUAUCAUCAGCUUUGCUUUAUGUUGUCUUCUGCACCAAAAAUUACAGAAAGAUAGUCAAAAUGUAAGAUUUUGCACCGCUAUGUAAAAAAAAAAAAAAGAGAGAGAAACUGUUGAGUUCUCUGUCAUCAUUGCUUUCAAAGUAAUAGUAUUAGAAGUGCCGUCCAGUGUAUUGAUAAAUCUGACUGCAUUAGUGUCACUUGUGGAGCAGGGGGUUCAAUUAGUGCUUACAGACUUUCUUACGAGUGUCAUCUGUAAUACAGAAAUUAGUAAAAACAAAAGGUUCUUACAAUGUUUGAGAGUGACUUACUAAUAAAGCUAUAAAAUAGCGAUUGCACAAAUACAGAUUAUACCAGUGUACAAUUUAUUUUAGCAUAAUAAGCUGUGUGAACUCUCGGUGAACUUGGAAACGUCAGCAAUACAAAUAAACUAAUUUUCAACAGGCUACCACACACGUUUGCAACAAAAGUGUAUUGAAUUUGAAUAAGGAACUCUUAAAGUAUAAAACUGUCAUCUGGUUUAAAUAAGUUAAGUUCCUACACAGAUUUUGCCUUAACUGGAACUAUGUGGUACGGACAUCUCUAAAACCAAACAAAAGGAUGUUCUUAUUUUGUGAUGUUAGUAAACAUACUGAAAUUGUAACUUAUGCCUGGUUGAUAGUUACGUUCCGUUAUGCGAAAAUCGCUAUCUUAGCAAUGUCUCAUAAUGCUCAACAGACUAUUUAAGGCGGUAAUGGCGUAAUUAAUUUUAUAAAGUUGCAGAUAAACAUGUGUGAUAGUGCGUGCUCAUGCAGACGCAUGCUCGUGCAGGCGAGUGCUCAUGAAGGCAAUGCUGCAGAAGUUUAUGCAGAGCGCGGAGGACCGUGUUGUUCGCAGUGGCUAUGGUACAUGCUGUGGCACUGGAUUACAAUGGGCGUGAUGAACUCCAGACGUAUGCGAUUUAUCUAUUUUGCAGUAGGCAGUUCUCUGCUCAAUGAUCACACAGUUAACUGAUUUGCCAGUUCAGUCCAAAAGUCAAGUCGGGCCAAAAGAAGAAGGAAUUGGAAGAAGAAAAAUGUAUUUGGGGCUUCGGAAUUUCAUUAAAUUGAAAUUGGGUUAAAAGCUUCGGAAUUCCAUUAAAUUGGAAUUGGAUCAAAACCUUCGCAACUCCAUUGAAUUGAAAUUUGCUUUGGAAUUCCAUUAGAUUGGAAUUUGCUUCGGAAUUCCUUUAAAUGGGGAUUGGCUUCGGAAUUCCAUUAGAUUGGGAUUAGGUUAAAGACUUCGGAAUUUCGUUUAAUUGAAAAUGGGUUAAUGAAACUUCGGAAUCCCAUUAGAUUGGAAUUAGCUUUGGAAUUCCAUUAAAUUGGAAUUGGCUUCGGAAUUCCAUUAAAUUGGGAUUAAGUUAAAGGUUUCGGAAUUUAAUUUAAUUGAAAUUGGCUUAAUACAACUUUGGAAUUACGUUAGAUUGGAAUUAGCUUCGGAAUUCCAUUAAAUUGAAAUUGGGUUAAUAAAACUUUGGAAUUCCAUUAGAUUGGGAUUAGGUUAAAGGCUUCGGAAUUUAAUUUAAUUGAAAUUGGGUUAAUACAACUUUGGAAUUACAUUAGAUUGGAAUUAGCUUCGGAAUUCCAUUUAAUUGAAAUUGGGUUAAUAAAACUUCGGAAUUCCAUUAGAUUGGAAUUAGCUUUGGAAUUCCAUUAAAUUGGAAUUGGCUUCGGAAUUCCAUUAGAUUGGAAUUAGGUUAAAGGUUUCGGAAUUUCAUUAAAUUGAAAUUGGGUUAAUAAAACUUCGGAAUUCCAUUAGAUUGGAAUUGGCUUUGGAAUUCCAUUAGAUUGGGAAUAGGUUAAAAGCUUCGGAAUUUCAUUAUAUGGAAAUCGAGUUAAAAACUUCGGAAAGGAAAAAAAGAGGGAGAGUAUUGGAAGAAAGUGGAAGAUACUUUAGACUACUUUAAUCCUGAACCACAUGUGGUUGGAAAUCAAUAGGUGGAGAGUAUGGUAGGAGUAAAGGAAAUAUAACAAUAAUUAAAUUUGUUAAAUAGGAAGGGAUGUAGUGUUCGUGUAUAUAUACACCGGUAGUGGGGUAGUGUUCGUGUAUAUAUACACCGGUAGUGGGCGAGAGCGGCCAGUCUAUGGCUGGCAUCGAGAGGAGGCGGACGUGUGCAGCUGGCCAUUUUAGUGUAGUGGUGAGACGGUGACUUACUGCUAUUAUGCUGGAGCCGAGCAGCCAGCGGCUCCCUGCAAACCGUUUGAUGUCCUCGGUCCACCUAGUGAAGGGUCGACCGACACAGCGCCUUCCAGUGCGGGGUCGCCAUUCAUCACUUUGGGACCCCAACGACCAUCGGCUCUUUGAACUACGUGCCCCGCCCAUUGCCACUUCAGCUUCGUGGCUCGCUGAGCUAUGUAACGAUGGUUUAUGGAGCCGAUGGAUGUUGGCGUACUAAGACGUUGAAAUGGCGAACGCUCAUCGAAAAGAGCAGUGCUGGCUGAGCCAACACCUAGAACACCUAAUGAGGUGGACCGACGUCGUCAAGUAGAUAGCAGACGGAUCAAGAUCAUCGUAAUUGGAAAUCCUUGUAAGCCUAUGGCUAGCGAUGGACAUCCCUCGUCUGAUAUUACGAUAGAACUACGAUUGUGAUAAAAUUACUAAUUGCAUUAAAAAAUAUAACCUGUAAACUCUUUAUUGAAUAAGAUAAAUAUCCACAACCAUAAAAUUAAAGCCAUAUAAAUUACUAUCGGACACCUGUGCCCGCGUCUUUGUCCGCCCUUAGACCUCCUUAAUCCGGCCCUGUCGCAAUAAAUAGCGGAUAUCUACAUAAGAACUAAUCUUCCUGCCUAAUAUCUUCUUUGUGAGUAUUGACGUCAAUACGUCGAUAUUUCGUGAUGCUUCGACCUUUCGCUUUUAUAUUUUAGCCGAAUGCUAAGUAAACUUUAUAUGGAUUUAUUUUAUUAUAAUUGAAUUAAUAGUAAACAAUAUUGCCAUCGACCAUGGAGUGUCAUAAAUGCUAAUCAAAACUGACUAUUCAAAUUUAUUAAAUUAAUCGAUGUAAUAUUUCAUAAUUUACGACGAUUAUGGACAGUCAUAGUAAACAUACUGCUAGGUUAAUGGCUCGUAAAUAACAGUAAUUCAAAACCUGUAAAUAAUGUGUAUGGUUGAGCUGUCAUAAAAAUAUCACGUUAUAUUUUAGAUAAAUUUAUUAAACAAUUAAAAAAAACCCGACUGCAUGAAGUAUAAAAAAACUGAAAAGAAAUAAAACAAGCUCAAUCCAGAAGUGUAGAAAGCAAUUAGAAAACAGUCUGACCUAUUAAAUAAUGUAGAAGAAAAUUAUUCUAUCCAAUAUCUAAGGUUAUCCAUCUUCUCAGCUCGUAGUGUCGUGUCAAUAAAUAAUUAAUAGUCCUAAUGCUUGAUUUAUGAAAAUACCGUAGGGUUGUUAUAGCUAAUUAGGAGUUGAUGAGGUCAACGAUACCUUUACGUGGAGCCAGUACAAUGACCGCAUUAAAUAAUUAAGUUAUUUAUUUGCGUCUGGGUCGUUUCAGUAGUUUACCUUUAAUCCACUAAAAUUCACGAACAAUUCAAUGACCGGCAGUGUUAAAAAAUACGUGGAACUCAAUCAGGUCACCGACCCCGAAGGUGAUGUUUAUCGAUCAUUUGCACGGAAAGUACGGGUGAGAUCCAGUGGCGGAUUUGCCAGCUGGUUAAGUGGGCUGGAGUCUAGGGCGGCGGAUGUUAAGGGGCAGCAAAUUUGGCUGCCCAGUGUGUACAGGGUACAUGGAUGUCUUACAGAAAUAAAGAAGAAGUCCUCAUUAAACGAGUUUUGAAAAUUCAAGGAAUAAUAAUAAAAAUUAACGGAAAUCUGAUGUAAUGAAGACGAAUGUGCACAAAUCAGAAAGUUGCAAUUUCAUUCACACAAUAAAAUGUAAUUAAUUUCUUUGCUAACUAGUUAGUAGGCGGCAAAUUUCCAAGUCCGCCACUGGUACGAUCCGAGGGUGCCUACGAUUACUUUCAUUUACAUACGCCUACGCUGCAGCGCCAAAACACUGUACCUAAGAAACAUUCAUUUUUGAGAAGUCCCAGUUCUUUGUAUUCUUUGCUAGAUACGAGUACUAUUAAUGAAUUUCUUUGUACUUACUCGUAGUUUUAAGUUUUUAAAAAUAUUUAAUGCUAAUAGGUAUAUGUAACCAUGUUCUAAUUUUAAUUCUAAUUUUUGAGUGUAACUACAUAACACAUGAUGUGUUUGCGGAUACAGUGUUAUGCAGAUGCAGAAUAAUCUCCGCUAAUGUAGACAGAUACAGUUGCCGCAGAUACAGUGUAAUGUGUCGGCAACUGUUAUUCUUGUACUCGUCCAUUUUCACGAUUAGGAUUACAUUGCCUGUGACACCACUUCUCCACUUGUAGCCUCAUUUCUUUUAAACUCGACUGCGCCACUGUGAAGGAGGGUUGUCUGUUUAUCAGUAUUUUAUGUAGGUAUAUUUCAAUUCCUUUGUUGAUUACUUAAGUAUGAUGUUUAAUGUAAACAAUUUUUCAAACAGUCAGUUGUUUUCUAAUAAUAAUUGAAUUACUUGUUUUAUUUAUUAACCGAGAAGUUAAUGCCUGAAUGGCAAUCUGACGAUGCAAUAUAAUGGCUCCUGCACAUUAUCGGUCAUUAUAUACAAGGGAUCCCAAGCGUGUAAAGAGCGUAAUCACUUAUAAUUGCCCAUGAUGGGUGACGAUCGAACGUAAUCGCCGCCGUGUUGGGUUUCCGGACAAAUAUAAAAAAAAAUUGCAUUUUCACCCAUAUAUAAGACUAGCUGACGCCGCGCGGCUUCACCCGCGUGGAUCCCGUUCCCGUAGGAAUAUGGGGAUAAUAUAUAGCCUUCCUCGAUAAAUAGGCUAUCAACAGUAACAGUGAAAGAAUUUUUCAAAUCGGACCAGUAAACAAACAAACAAACAAAUAAACAAACAAACUCUUCAGCUUUAUAAUAUUAUUAUAGAUUUAUUUCCACAAGGCAUCGUCAAAUUAAAUUUCAUUUUCAUUAUAAUUAUGGGUUCAGUUACUCGGAAGCUCGUAAGAAAAUGUCACUUAAAAACUAGCCAAUUUUGCUUUGGCAAUAGAAUUAUUGGUAAAGAAAAUUAUACCUAAAGUCCUUUAAAUAUAGUCCAAUAUUCAAUAAAAUCCCAAAUUCAGAGCAAAUUCAACCUUAAGUAUUUAGUUUAAGGUUGAAUUUGCAAAUGCGACUACAUAAAUUGAGUGCCAAGAAGUUGUAUUUGGCACUCAUUGAGUGGGGACGAUUUUCGGUCGCUGAUUGUGCAUCCAAUUUUAAAUAGGAGAUCGAUGCUCGUAAGGCGUGAAAGCGUAACAAGAAACAAAUACACAUUCGCGUCUUGGAUAUUAGGUAUUAUUAGUUCAUUAGGACUUUGUUUUAAAUCUAGAUACAGGAAAAUGUACUGUUUAACAUUAGUGAACUACAAUAACCUUCCGUAUUCUGAUUAAAAUAAUAAUGAAUCUUGAAUUACAAUGUGCAUUAAUGUGCAAAAAAACCUGUAAUCAUGUAAUCUCGUGCGAGUAUCUUUCUGAUAUUGCUUGCAAUGAGAUAGCUUCUAAUAAUAAUAAUGAAACGUGUACAAUUAUACAGGUAACACAACGUUUUCAGGUUAAAUUGAACAACAAAGACUGAACACGCCCAAAACAUAGAAAGGUCAAAAUUCAAAAUUGUUGUUGUGCCUUUUGAUUUCGCCGUCAACCAUCUUAAUUUACGAUAAUUUCUAUUUAGCGACAGUCACACAAUCUGGGGUGAUGAUUAGUCUUUGAUUUGAUUAAGUAAUGGAUAUCUUCGUGUCAAUCCAAUUUCAUAUAUUACUAGCGGAUGCCCGCGACUUCGUUCGCGUGAAACUUGGUGUAGACUUUCAAAUACCUCUACCCUACCCCUACCCUACCCCUAUUCUACCCUUCCCUACCCCUACCCCUAACCUACCCCUACCCUACCUCUACCCUACCCCUACCCUACCCCUACCCUACCCUACCUCUACCUUACGUUGAAAAUUUUCCUGAAUUUUCUUUGCUAUAAACCUCACGGAGCCUGAGACCUUUCCAACGAAUGCAAAACCGUGGAAAUCGGUUCGUGCUUUUUGGAGUUAUAGCGUCAGGAAGGAAAACCCGACUUAUUUUUAUAUAGUAGAUGUCAACUAACAUACGUCAAAGUUACUGAAUUAGACUGCAGAUAUAUUUGGACAUUAUGCCUCUAAUGAAAACUAGGCCAGAUAGUAUACAUUUAAUUGAAAAUUUUAAUUAAUAUCAUUAUGGAAAAAUCGAGAAGGUACACGGCUAUUAAACAUUGCGUCGAAAGUGUAAUAAACGAAAUAGUUAGAAGGAAUGAGCUGAUAUAAUCUAAACAAUGUAAGAUACGUGCAAAUAAAACAAUAACUAACGAACGAGUAUUACACAUUAUAUUAUAAUCGUAUAUUUUGUGAAAAUUAGGAAUACGGGUCACGGAAUUUUAGUCUUCAUUACCUAAGAUUUCAUACAAGUUCCUCUUCCACAGUAGGUAACAUGUAGACAGUAAGAAUCGAUUUUUUUAAUGAUCAAAAAUCUUCAUGGGGAUCAUGAGGGAUUUUCAUAAUCAUUUAACUGCUAAG
Bicyclus anynana (squinting bush brown) is the source of this 9448-nucleotide long non-coding RNA. RefSeq lists it as uncharacterized. The record is from RefSeq and is a predicted model, not a curated record. The transcript has 3 exons. Lineage: Eukaryota; Metazoa; Arthropoda; Insecta; Lepidoptera; Nymphalidae.